Molecule: unclassified non-coding RNA, 253 nt
Filed under: uncultured delta proteobacterium
Lineage: Bacteria; Deltaproteobacteria
Description: contains 16S-23S intergenic spacer region
Rfam family: Bacterial small subunit ribosomal RNA
Source: RNAcentral
UACGUAGGUGGCAAGCGUUGUCCGGAAUUAUUGGGCGUAAAGCGUGCGUAGGCGGCAACGUAAGUCGGGUGUGAAAGCCCUCGGCUCAACCGAGGAAGUGCAUUCGAAACUGCGUAGCUAGAGUACUGGAGAGGGUGACGGAAUUCCUGGUGUAGAGGUGAAAUUCGUAGAUAUCAGGAGGAACACCUGUAGCGAAGGCGGUCACCUGGACAGAUACUGACGCUGAGGCACGAAAGCGUGGGGAGCAAACAGG